ACGUAGGGUGCAAGCGUUAAUCGGAAUUACUGGGCGUAAAGGGUGCGCAGGCGGCUCCGCAUGUCGGGCGUGAAAUCCCCGGGCUCAACCCGGGAACUGCGUCCGAUACUGGAAGGCUUGAAUUCGGGAGAGGGAUGCGGAAUUCCAGGUGUAGCGGUGAAAUGCGUAGAUAUCUGGAGGAACACCGGUGGCGAAGGCGGCAUCCUGGACCGGCAUUGACGCUGAGGCGCGAAAGCCAGGGGAGCAAACGGGA
Molecule: ribosomal RNA, 253 nt
Filed under: uncultured prokaryote
Description: partial 16S ribosomal RNA
Rfam family: Bacterial small subunit ribosomal RNA
Source: RNAcentral